AGAACGAACGCUGGCGGCACGCCUAAUACAUGCAAGUCGAACGAACACUUCGGUGUUAGUGGCGCACGGGUGCGUAACGCGUGGGAAUCUGCCCUUGGGUUCGGAAUAACAGUUGGAAACGACUGCUAAUACCGGAUGAUAUCGAAAGAUCAAAGAUUUAUCGCCCAGGGAUGAGCCCGCGUAGGAUUAGCUAGUUGGUGAGGUAAAGGCUCACCAAGGCGACGAUCCUUAGCUGGUCUGAGAGGAUGAUCAGCCACACUGGGACUGAGACACGGCCCAGACUCCUACGGGAGGCAGCAGUAGGGAAUAUUGGACAAUGGGCGCAAGCCUGAUCCAGCAAUGCCGCGUGAGUGAUGAAGGCCUUAGGGUUGUAAAGCUCUUUUACCCGAGAUGAUAAUGACAGUAUCGGAGAAUAAGCCCCGCUAACUCCGUGACCAGCAGCCGC
This 445-nucleotide ribosomal RNA is filed under the name uncultured soil bacterium. RNAcentral describes it as "bacterial SSU rRNA". It matches the Rfam family "Bacterial small subunit ribosomal RNA", at positions 26 to 518 of the family's 1533-position model. The record is from RNAcentral.